Molecule: ribosomal RNA, 494 nt
Filed under: uncultured bacterium
Lineage: Bacteria
Description: partial 16S ribosomal RNA
Rfam family: Bacterial small subunit ribosomal RNA
Source: RNAcentral
GACGAACGCUGGCGGCGCGCUUAACACAUGCAAGUCGAACGGAAAGGCCUGCUUUCCCUUGUGGAUUGCGGGUACUCGAGUGGCGAACGGGUGAGUAACACGUGAGUGAUCUGCCCCCAACUUGGGUAUAAGCCUGGGAAACUGGGUCUAAUUCCCGAUAGGACUGCAGGGUGGUGCCUGUGGUGGAAAACGAUUUUCUAGUGGUUGGGGAUGAGCUCGCGGCCUAUCAGCUUGUUGGUGGGGUAAUGGCCUACCAAGGCGGCGACGGGUAGCCGGCCUGAGAGGGUGGACGGCGACAUUGGGACUGAGAUACGGCCCAGACUCCUACGGGAGGCAGCAGUGGGGAAUAUUGCACAAUGAGCGGAAGCCUGAUGCAGCGACGCCGCGUGGGGGAUGACGGCCUUCGGGUUGUAAACUCCUUUCGACCGCGAGGAAGCCACCUGGUUGGAAGGGUGGUGACGGUAGUGGUAGAAGAAGCACCGGCUAACUACGUG